ACAGGAAAAAAUAAAAGACAGGAGCAGAGCGGCGGGUGCUCUCCGGCGGGAGGAGGAGCAAAUGAUGGUGGCGCAGCCUUCUUCCUCCUCCCCGCCCCCACAUUUGCCAGCCAGCGCAGGCCGCGUGGGCUCGGUGGCCGGCGAGCAGGCUAAGACGCGCCGCCGUGCCACGCCGACCGACGGCCUAGCGCGCGAUGCCGUCCGGCCCGGGUGGACCGCCGGAGCGAGAGCUUCUCAGAGGUGCGUGCUCCUCUAACUGUGAAUCGACUUAGUUGUUUUGUUUCUCAGAGGUGGGUGCCUUCUGCUAACGAAACCUCGACGGAGAAUGCCCGUGAGCAGCGAGCCAGAGUGGGCCACAAGGUGUUUGUGGGAAUUCCUGCAGGAAGAGACCAGCCACUGCCAUGUCAUUUCGAUUUGCACAAAUCAACAUUUUAUCUUUUUAAUACCCCUCGAAAGGGAUCUUCAUGGGUGCUGCUCUGCUCUCCUGAAAGCUAGUUUGAACAGAGUUCAAGGAGCAGUGCUAUCAGCAGAUUGCAGAUCGGAUCGCGCCCUCAUCUUGCUUUCAGCCUCUUGCUCUCUGGGCUUCACCUGCUAUUUGAUGAACUGAAGAACCUCUGCUCUGCAAAAAAACACACAUUCUCCUACCAAACUUCCCUAGUUCUGUUAGCGAAUGCGUUGCACACCGAGACUUGGGGAUAAGACGGAUGACAGAGUGUUUAUAACCCAAUAAAGAGGCGGCACGUAACCUUAGUUUUGUUAACAGUUCACAUUGAUUCUCCUACAAAUUUUUCUUGUUUCUGGACCGAUGUCACUAGUUUAGUCACAGGGUAUAUUGCACCAGUACAGUUUAAGCAUUCUGAAUCAAUGUGAUUGGAUGUCUUUUUUUUUCUUUCCAGGUAAAGGUAACCAUUCUGUACAUUUUCUAAUGUGCUUUGAAGUCGAGCCGAAAAAGAAUGUAAUUUGAAGUUACUUUUCCACAUGAUUUCCGUCAGACUUCACAAACAUUGUUUAGUCUGACACAGUAAAUAAACUGACGUAUCCAGUAACUCCAUAGUACUUAUAAAAAGCUCCAUAGUAACUAAGAGACAUAUUGCAUGCAAAAUUAAGAAAUAUACAAUUCUACUAUCCUUUUUUUUGUAGCAUACCGAAUUUUAACUGGUUAACUUGCCUUCUUUCAUGCAUCCAAAUUUCUUGGUGAGAAGGGUCUUUAAUAAGAACAUUUCGACAUCUCCCAUUUUUCUGUGGGAGCUACUGGACUUGAAAUACAUUACCUAUAUUAAGAAAAAGAUCCUUGUUCUUCAAGACAAAUACCAGUUUCUUAUCUGGUAUACUGUUGUAAAAAGUAUCCAUGACAUAUGCAGAAAUUAGCCUGCCAGGUACUAGCGUCCCUUUAGUGCUGUAAUGCUCAUGGUAUUUGCAGAAUUCACAGUAUUUUCUGCUUCUCCAUCAGCACCAUAGUUAUUUUCUGCAAAAUACAUAGGCUCUUUUGGAGGUGGAAGUAAAAUGUCUCCAUUCUCCAGAAAGGACAUGAUUGAUGACACGAGUGGCCGCGCAUUUGGGCUGUCUUGAACACACAAGAGUCCGAUAUGGAUGCACCGUAUAGUUUCAUUAAAUGAACAGCUCCCCACAAUUGACGAGUCAACAAAAUCCUUCGUGUCCCCAUCCUUCCAUAAGCUCCAUGCCUGCAUCCAUUCUUAUCCCUUUCAGGAUGCAUAUAUUUACUGUAAUUACAAAAAUUCAAACAUGCCAUAGUACGUACAUAGGCUAUAAUGCUGGAGAAGUCUGCUUUUAGGUGCACAGAGCUGAUCUUUGAGCCACUCACAAUCUCUAGAAGUAAAACCCCAAAGCUGUAUACAUCAGACUUGACAGAAAACACUCCUUUCAAAGCAUAUUCAGGUGACAUGUAACCGCUGUUUGAAGCACAUCCCAGUUAGGAGCAUCGGACAGAAUUUUGGUCAAGCACAAGAAUAAUGUAUAAAGAUCACUCAUGCAGUAUAUCACUUACUAUGUGCCAACAACGCGGUUGGUAUUUUCUUGCUGCUGAUUUCCGCCAAAUAUCCUUGCCAUACCAAAAUCAGAUAUCUUAGGGCUCAUUUCAGCAUCUAAUAAUAUGUUGCUUGCUUUGAGAUCCCUGUGGAUUAUCUUCAACCUUGAAUCUUGAUGGAGAUAAAGAAGUCCUCUAGCUACCCCUUUGAUUAUCUCGAAUCUUAUUGGCCAAUCAAGCAACUGUUUUAGUGUGGCAUCUGCAUCAAUAGUAUUAAUUGAGGGAUAACAUCAGUCAUUCUGGAUGAUCUAAUUAUUUACUGAAAUUUGGCAAGACGUAAGCAGAACAUACCAAAAAGCAUGGCGUCCAGACUUUUCUUAGGUAAGUAUUCGUAUAUCAAUAGUUUCUCAUCUCCAUGGAUGCAGAAACCGAGAAGUCUAACCAAGUUUUUGUGCUGCAACUUCGCAAUGAGUAUUACUUCAUUUGUGAACUCCAGUACCCCUUGGCCAGAACCCUUACUAAGCCUUUUCACAGCAAUUUCUGUACCAUCUUCUAAUGUCCCCUGGACACUUGAUAGUUUUAGGUCAAACAAGACGGAAAUACAGUUAUGCAGCUCUAUAAGAGAAACUUUCACAUUACCUUGUAAACAUUGCCAAAACCUCCAUGUCCAAGCAUGUUGGAGUUAGAGAAGUUGUUUGUUGCAAGUACAAUUUCUUUGAAGCUAAUAAAAGGAUAUUUUAAGUUUCCAUCAUGAAGUUCAACAGAAGUGCUUGAAGUUCCUGACAUCAGGUUCUUCCAAAUUUUCUUGUUUCUUUGUUUGCCUAUCGGGAAAAUUGAUGCAAACAUUAUGAUAAAGGAACAUAUAUAGUACAUAGACGGCGCAAACAUGCUUGAAGGGAAAUACACAGAGAAAAGUAUGGAGCUGUGUCCUACCUCCCAAGUUGCAUAUCCAAACAAGGCACACACAUAUGGUUAUGAGCAAACUUGACGCAAUUGGCAGUGUGAUUUUUAAAACAGUGCUCUUCCGCUUUUUAUCUGCCAAAAUUCAGUCUGUAAGCAAUCAUGAUCUAAACAUUUGCUAAGUAGUUAGUUUCACAAGCCAAUUUUUUCUUACAAGUAUGAACUACAUACACAUUAUCUUGACUCUCAAGGAAUCUAUGUCUCACAUGAACAAUAGCAUCACGAGUAUGGUAACAUUUGGAACAUACAAAAUUUAUGCUUGAUACCUAAAAUUAAAAUCCUGCACACCAUCUUGUGUUGAACUGGAUGGAGUGGUUGGCAAGCCCAAGCUUCUUAUACAAUAUUAUCAGAUAGCAUGUAUAUCUUGUAUAUUAUCUUGGAUUGUAUGAACUUCUUUAAGCAAUACAUUUUCUAUUAAUAGGAAAUAGAUAGCAACACAAAUUGAAGUCCAAAGAAAUACGAGUCAAACCAGGGUGAUGGCACCGUACAUUCACGGUCCUGCCCAUAUGAGCUAGGCUCACUUCCUAUACAUUGACUGAGAUUGGAUAUAUAUAGACUUCAGAACAACUGUGUUCGCGGCUGGACAAAUGUUUCCAGACACCUCAGGUGUCUGAAACAUGUAUUAGAAGCAGUUCAUAUUAUUCAGAUGAAUGUGUUUUACAUACUAACUAACUUUAAAAAACUUGAGCUUCAGUAUUGCCAACUCUUGCAUGCUCAUAUUUUCAUUCUGCAUCCAAUGGCUGCUAAUCUGCACCCUCCAAUUGGAUAAGCCAUUAUGUUUUCAUAUAAAGAAGAUUGUAGUGAUUCACAGACAUCUUAUAUGCUUAUUUGCCGUCCACUAUUAAUUUAAACCUUACUUGUACUGACAUUGUAGAUAGCACUAAGUGGUAUAUUUCUGGAGCUCCACUUAACCCGCAAAAUAGAGGCUAUACUGUAUAUCUACUAACGCAAGCAGAGAAACAGAAACAGUAAACUGUACCCUUCAAUCCAUUAAUCCGAAUGUAGAGGUUUUCUCCUUGUGCAUGGAGCUUCUCGGUGUCAAUCAAAUCUCCAAUCCAUAAUAGGCACCUAAUUCCAUCCCCAUUGAUAGCAUUGGUGCUCAUAUUGGUGUAAGCAUACGCCGUGCAGGAGCAGUUGCUGGUGCAUUCUGCUAUGCAUUCAUCUAAGCUUCUAUUCUUGACAUGCAAGAACUGGUUGGGAACCUUCAUGGUUGGCAUAUUUAAGAAGCCAUCCUCUUGACCACAUCUUAGUGAUUCCGUCCGGUGGCAUCCCUGUGAAAACCUGUGGGCCGUCCAGUCUUGUUUGUUGUUUGGCUCAAAGCCAUCAAGACACUUGCAUGCCACAAUAGGCUGUGUGUUGUCGCAGUAACCAAAUGGACCACAGUAUCCAAAUUUGUUGCAGUCCUGGUUAGGUUCUGACCCCAGGUCAGUCCAUUUGGACAUGUUGCUAUUCCAAACUCGUGUCUUUAUCUUGCCUGAACUGUCCAUCUUCACUAGCACAACUGAGGAUACACUUGGUACUGGUAAUCCAAAGGAAAUGUAGACCUCAUCAUCUAUGGUUUGCAUUGUUAAGUAAAAUGUGGACUUGAUACUCUUGAUAUACUGCCCGACUACCAAAUAGUUAUUCCAUACUGCACUUCGCCAGUAUGGUUUUGAGCCUUUCCAUACAUAACGAACCAGAAACUCAUUAGGGUCUGCACCAUAUGAGAAGUUGCCCGGGAAUGGGUCUUGGGAGUUUCUCCAAGAGAUGAGCCGUUGUAGUGCAUGCGUCUUGUGGGUGACUCUGAGGUUCAUGCCUGGAAGAAGAGUGUCGGUCGGGUAAUCGAAGCUUUGCCAUAAGAUGUUGCCCUGUGAUGACCGAAGGAUAAAAUUCCCAUUGUUUUCAAGCGUGGCUUCUCCACCAGUCGCCUCUGACGAUGAAUUUCUUGUGGCGCUGAUGUUUGUUGUCCACAGAAGCUGGCCGUUGGUGCCUGACAAGGCGAUAUCGGAUCCGUUUGUGAAGGCCAGUGUUGCAGAAGAAGGAUCAGCUAUCGGCAUAGCACGGUUGGCCACCCACACAAUGUUGUCUUCGGGUAUAUUCUUGUACCAUAUGCCGACAUAGUAUUGUUUUGUGCCGGAGUUGGGCAGGGAGAAGAAUCCCAGGGCAAAAGUUCCGCCGUUGGAGGUGAUGGUGCUUCCAGCAGAAAGCGGCUUGUCGGGAAGAAGACGGCUGCCGGAUGAUGCACAGAAUGGGAAUAACCAAAAUGACCAACAAACAAGGCAGAUGAUUGUGUGUAUGGGAAGGGGAUCCAUUGCUGUAACAAACUAUGGAACUGGGAUACGGAAGCAACGAAGUGGAUGGUUGCCUUGGAGAAUGCACAUCAGAACUCUGGGGAGAGGCAGAGUCAGUCAAGCAUUUUAUUUGUGUGUUUUCUUUCACAGGACGCUUCUGGGAACAUUGGAAGUAGUCAAGGAGAGAUAUUUCUAGGAAGUUAAAAUGUUGGGUUGUGGUUGAUAUCAUCUGGACUAGUCUUAUCAUCUGGAAGAUUAAGCAUUUACUUUUCUUUUGGGUGUGACAGCUGGAUUUUCUUGUUUGAAUGUACUGGUUACUAUAAUUUUCGUUGGAUUGCAUAUGUUUUAACAGAACAAACCCUCAUAUCUUUUGUGCAUAUAUAUACAUGAAAUUGCAGGUAAAUGUCAACAUCAGUGGUGCAAUGUCUUCCCUUUAUGAAUUUGAACUUGGCAAGUUAAAAAACAUGGAUAGAUCAGCUGAUUAAGAAGCACAUAUUUUCUUAUUGUUCUGGGUUCAUAAGAACAUCAUUAGUGUUAGGAAAGCAACUUAUCUAUAUUGAAGGCCCAAGGGGCAUAUAUAUAUUACACAUGACUUGACGUGCAAGGAAAGUAAACGUAGACUAAUAAGGACUCCUAGACUAAUACUAAUAGACUAAUAAGGACUCCUAUACUCCUAGACCAAUACUAAUACUUCCUAUCCCCCCCCCCACCCUCAAAUGCAAAGCGUAUGCAAUAACAUUGCAUUUGAAGAAGUGUAAUGCUAAAAAAAAUGAUAAUCCAAAUCCGCGUCUUGAGAGUGUCGUCGUAGCAUGAAGAGUCUUCAAAACUUGUCGAGUCGCCGAAGGAGAUAACGAAGAGAUGACACAUCAGAGGUAGACACCGCAUCACUUGAAAAUACAAGAGAAGUAUCAAGAGAAGAUGGGUUGUCAAAAGAAGAUGGCACAUCAAGAGGAAGACACCGAAGAGAUGGCACAUCAGAGGAAGACACCGCAUCACUUGAAGAUACAACAUAAGUAUCAAGAGAAUAUGGGUUGUCAAAAGAAGAUGGCACAUCAAGAGAAUAAAGCAUUGUGCAGAAAAUCAUAGUCCACGACAACCGUCGGCGAAAGAAGCUCGGCGGAUAAGGCACGAUGGACGUAGAUCGACAAUGCAAAAGAAGUCCAGAAAAUCCUAUAGAAAACAACAAGGGCAAAUAGGCCACAAAAGUUGCAUAGAAAGGAUCAGGACCAAAGAAAAGGCCGACGGACUAAGGUAUGGUGGACUCGCAUGGCAUGAGAAAACACAAAAUAUCAACGGUUUUGGUGGACGCAACGGAAGAGAAAAAAUAAUAUCAUGGCGGCGAAGGCCAAAACAGCAGAGUAGUAGCAGCAGGAAGUAGCUAGCAGUAGCAGCACGUAAGCAGCUAGCAACAGGUAGCAUGCACCACGUAGAGGAGCAAGCGCGUGAGCAGGCAGGCAGCAGCCGUCGACUUCGAUCGGACCAGGAGAGUCAUUCUCCAGAUUUGGGAGCAACGACCUGAGACCAGAUUUGGAGCAGCGACCUGGGCAUCCAAACAAAAGCAGCGGCAGCACAACAAGCAGUUCACCAGAUCGGGAGCUGGGAAUCUCCAGCGAAUCAACUGCAGCCUGAUGGAUGGAUGAAGAAACGUCAGCAUGUUCGAUCUGGAGACCUUGACCUUCGGUGGCUCUGCCCGAUCUGGAUGGAAGAUCGCCAGGCGGCCCAACCAGAUGGAGGCAAGGCGUACACCCACGGGAUCCAGCAGGCGGGAGCAUUGAGCCAGCAGCCGCACAUACUGUAGCAGUCCAAAACUUGGCUUGGAGCGGCACAGUCCAAAACUUGGCUUGAAGCGGCACAGACCAAGCUAGAGAAGUCCAGGGUGGACAGAGCAUGCAGGGAGCAGCAGUGCAGCAGCGGCUGCCUGGAGAUGCGGCCUGCUGAUGCCAGGAGCAGCAGCCUAGGUUCGCCUUGGCGGUGGAGCGACUGGCCCAUAGAGAAGUCUGCUGUGGCCAGCAGAGGCAACGAGCAGCGGGAGCCGGGAGCGCUGAGGAACACCGACGGCGGUCCUGUAGAGACGCUAAUCCAGGUGGAGUCGAUCUGGGCCAGCAGUGCGGCAUGAUCUGCACAAUAAGAUCUCGAUCUGGACGAUGUGGCUUCGAGUUGAAUCGAUCUGAGCAACGACCUAGAGCAGCAGGAGACGGGUGAGCAGCGGCCAGAUUUGUAGGUGCAGACCGGAAAAAAAAUCGAUCGUGAUCGAGAGAGAGGAUUCGAUCGGUAGAGAGGACGAGUUGCAGCGUCCGGAGACCUAAACCUAGGCUCUGAUACCAUGUUAGGAAAGCAACUUAUCUAUAUUGAAGGCCCAAGGGGCAUAUAUAUAUUACACAUGACUUGAGGUGCAAGGAAAGUAAACAUAGACUAAUAAGGACUCCUAGACUAAUACUAAUAGACUAAUAAGGACUCCUAGACCAAUACUAAUACUUCCUAACAAUUAGACCCUGACUGGGUGCACAAAGCGACUUGUGCUUGCUGCUUAAAAAUUGUGUUAGGAUGUGAGUUAAAUACCGUGGGUGGAAUAGUGUAUUUAUCUCUGUGCUUAUAUAAUUUUGCCAGCCAAGCAUUUGAGUGCGCAGUCAUGCCUGUAUUUGUGCCCCUAGCUUUGCAGAAAAGGAAAAACUGAAAUUUUUAGCUGUCAUGUGCAAAUAUAUAUAUCUGAAAAGAGCAUCACCCGUUUAGUGUCUUCUCAUGCUUCUCAUUAUGUUAUUGCAGAUGGUUACAGUGCAUUCCCUCCAUCAUGAAGGUAUAACUCAGAUUUUUUUUAUUUUUUUUGCACUCUGGGAGUUGAAAGCAUAACCAUAUACUCGUUGAGAUGGCAAGGCUGAAGAAACCCACUGUAAGAAGCAUGCAUGGGUUAUAGCCACUCAGAGGUCAAUUUUUUACUGAGUUGUUUCAACAUAUAUACUUAUGCCCGACUGAUUAGGAUAUCGAUCUGCAAUGAUUAUCUGAUCUUAUUUUGCUGAGGCAUAUGGCGCUAGAAUUACCAUUUGCUUUUUACAGCAAAUGUCCAGGAUGUUGAUAAGCUCUUUUUGUAGAGUGUAAACUAAUAAGCAUGCUUAUCUAGCACUGCAGAUAUGGCAUGGCUGAUUCUCUAGCUUCAGAGAUCGUUCUUGGCAACGGGCAUGGGUUUGCUGCUGAUCUAUAAGUGUUUACCUAUCACUUGUGCAAGAUCUUCCAAAUUGUGCAUGUAUUCAAUCAUAUAUUUCUAAAAAACUCAGAGAGUACGCCCAUUUCCUUAAGUGUUUUCCUUUUAGUGCCGAAGCACAUGAUUAUCAAAAAUACGAAACUUAAUCUCGUAAAACAGACACAGUGGCACCUAUAUUCUGUUGUUCUACAGUUUCUUCCUUUCAGAUAACAAAAGUUGGGCAUAACGUUUUGGAUCACGAAGGCUUUGUAUUCCUGAUUUUGUAUGUCAGUUCAUUCUACUUGCUUGCAACUGUUAAGAUUUUGUAUUUUACUGUCUUGCUGCAUAGACUUUUUUUGCAGCAAAGUUUUCAGAUGUGGUGCUAAAAUAUGGGCAUUUGAGUCAUGCUGCCAUGAGAAGAGAGUUAUUAGAUACAUUAGCCAAGCAGAGGGUUAGUAAAGUUUACAAAAAAACCAUAAGCUUUCUUUGCUCGCGCAGCGUAGAUUCCUGUACUGAUAUAUAGUGCCAAGUCUUAUUCCUGACUAACCAGAGUACACACGAAGUCAUGUAUUGAUGAUUACGUCUUGUAAUCGGUUCAUGUUGUUGCCAGUUUCCACGCGAGAAAAUGAGAUUUAGAAAGAUGUUUCAUUUUCUCUCUUGUAGUCGUGUAACUAACAUGUCCUCCUGCCUUUGCAUUGCGUGCAGCCCGAGUGACAGACAUGUGCUCCCAUAGCAAAGCAAGGCAGGCUCCUGACUGUGUCGGGUUCCCUUGCCGGCCUCACAUUUGCCAUCCGGUAUAUAGGCUGCACAGGCUCGGGCGGCAGAUGCGGAUGGCGAGCAGGCUAAGGUGUGACGUCGCGCUAACGGAGCAGGCUAAGGUGUGACGUCGCGCUGACGGCUUAGCGAGGCCGUCCGGGUGGAGCGCAGGAGUAAGGGCUUCUCAAAGGUGUGUGCUCUCAAUGUCAAUGGAGCCAUACGACGUCAGUUGUUUCUUACACCUAUGCAAUGUGAAUCAACGAAAUCAUAUGCCCUUAGACCCUUGUUACGAAAUCUCGAUUCGGACGAUGCCCAUGAGCAGUGAGCUAGAGUGGGUGCAAGGUGUUUGUGAAAAUGCCUGGAAGAAGAAACCAGCUACUGGCUUAUUUUUUGGAUUUCACAAAUCGGCAGCUAUGAAAGGAAUCUUUACGGUGCUCCUGUGCUCCCAUAAAAGCGUAAAACGAUUUCAAGAGUAGAGAUAGAGAGAGCAAGAGAGUAUUAGGUAGUUGAUCAAUGACUCUUUGAAGCGGCUUGUGCUAGUUAUCAAAAACCCAAUAAAGAGGCGACACAUUGUUCAGGGUUCACAUUCUUCUACAAAAGUUUCUUGUUUCUGGACCCGUGGCACUAGUUUAAUUAAGAUUUAUACUAUAUGCUUUAAGCACUGUGAAUCAAUGUGACAAGAUGUCCCUUUUUCUAGCUAAGCCAUGUGUAUAUUUUCUACUGCGAUUUGAAGUUACUUUUCUACAUGAUUUCUGUCAAACGUCACAAACAUUGUUUAUUCUGACACAAUAAAGUGAUCUAUUCAAUAAGAAUUUCCCUCCUAUAUGAGCUAGGCUCACUUCCUAUACAUCGACUAUCCCUCCUAUAUGAGCUAGCAGGCUCACUUCAUGACUCUCCCUCCUUAUAUGAGCUAGGCUCACUUCCUAUACAUUGACUGAGAUUGGAUAUAAAUAGGCUGGCCAAAUGUUUCCAGACACCUCAGAUGUCUCAAACAUGUAUUAGAAGCAGCUCCUUGAUAAAUUGUUCAGAUGGAUGUGCUUUCAUACUAACUUUUUGAAACUUAAUCUGCAGUUCUGCCAACUCCUGCAUGCUCAUAUUUUCAUUCUGCAUCCAGAGGCUGCUAAUCUGCACCCUCCAAUUGGAUAAGCUAUUGUGUUCUCAUAUAAAAAAAUUGUACUCCCUCCGUUCCUAAAUAUAAGUCUUUUAAAAUAUUUCACUAGGAGUCUACAUACGGAGCAAAAUGAGUGAAUCUACACUCUAAAGUAUGUCUAUAUACAUCCGUAUGUAGCCCACUAAUGAAACUUGUUUAAAGACUUAUAUUUAGGAACGGAGGGAGUAGUGAUUUACAGACAACAUAUAUGCUGCACCAAACUGUCUCAUCAUAUUGACUUUAUCAAGUCUUAUCCUCUAAUGUUUUCCUGCCACUACUAAUUUAAUAUUUUUAGCUGUACUAAUUUCAACCUUGUACUAGCAUUGUAAAUAACACUAAGGGGGGUAUUACUGGAGCUCCACUGGACCCACAAAAUAGAGGCAAUAUCUACUAACGCAAGCAGAGAAACAGAAUCAGAACAGAAACAGUAAAGCGUACCACUCAAUUCAUUAACCCGGAUAUAGAGGUUUUCCCCUUCUCCAUUGAACUUCUCUGUGUCAAUCAAAUCUCCGAUCCAUAAUAGGCACCUAGUCUGAUCCCCAUUGAUAACCUUGGUGCUCAUAUUGGUGUAAGCAUAUGCCGUGCAGGAGCAGUUGCUGGUGCAUUCUGCUAUGCAUUCGUCUAAGCUUCUAUUCUUGAUAUGCAAGAACUGGUCGGGAACCUUCAUCCUUGGCAAAUUUAAGAAGACAUCCCCUUCAUCACAUCUUAGUGCUUCCGUCCGGUGGCAUCCCUGCGAAAACCUGUGGGCCGUCCAGUUUUGUUUGUUGUUUGGCUCAAAGCCAUCAAGACACUUGCAUUUCACAAUAGCCUGCGUAUUGUCGCAGUAACCAAAUGGACCACAGUAUCCAAAUUUGUUGCAUUCCUGGUUAGGUUCUGACCCCAGAUCAGUCCAUUUGGACAUAGUGCUAUUCCAGACUCGUGUCUUUAUCUUGCCUGAGUAGUCCAUCUUUAUUAGCACUAAUGAGACACUUGGUACUGGUAGUCCAAAGGAAAUGUAGACCUCAUCAUCAAUAUUUUGCAGUGUGUAAUAAAUUGUAGACUUGAUACUCUCGACAUACUGCCCGGCUACCAAAUUGUUAUUCGAUACUGAACUUCGCCGGUAUGGUGUUGAGCCCUUCCAUAUAAUACACUGCCGAAACUCAUCAGGGUCUGCCCCAUAUGAGAAGCUGCCCGGGGAUGGGUCUUGGGGGCUUCUCCAAGAGAUGAGCCGUUGUAGUGCAUGCAUAUUUUGGGUGACCCUGAGGUUCAUACCUGGAAGGAGAGUGUCGGUCGGGUAAUCAAAGCUUUGCCAUAAGAUGAUGCCCUGUGAUGACCGAAGGAUAAAAUUCCCAUUGUUAUCAAGCGUGGCUUCUCCACCAGUUGCCUCUGACGAUGAAUUUCUUGCGGCGCUGAUAUUUGUCAUCCAGAGAAGCUGGCCGUUGGUGUCUGACAGAGCCAGUUUGGAUCCGUUUGUGAAGGCCAGUGUUGCAGAAGAAGGAUCAGCGAUCGGCAUAGCACGGUUGGCAACCCACACAACAUUGUCUUUAGGUAUGUUCCUGUACCAUAUUCCGAUGUAGUAAUGUUUUUUGCCGGAGCUGGACGGAGAGAAGAAUCCCAAGGUGAAAGUGCCGUCGUCGGAGGUGAUGGUGCUUCCAGCAGAAAGCGGCUUGUCGGGAAGAAGGCGGCUGCCGAAUGAUGCACAUACUGGGAAUAACCAAAAUGACCAACAAACAAAGCAGAUGAUUGUUUGUAUGGGAAGGGGAUCCAUUGUUGUAGGCCUGUAGCGAACUAUGGAAAUGGAAGAACGGAAGCAAAGCAGUUGAUGAGUUGCCUUUGGCCAAUGCAAAUCACAACUCCCGUUAGAGGCAGAGUCAGUUAAGCAUUUUAUCUGUGGCCCUUUUCCUGCAGGAAGCUACUGGGAAAGUGGGAACCUUGGAAGUAGUCAAGGAAAUAUAUUUACUAGGAAGUUUGAAAAUGUUGGGUUGUGGUUGUUAUCAUCUGGACUAUGAUGGCAAAUAGAAUAGCCAUUUACCUUUUCUUUUAGCCGUGACUUCUGGGUUUUCUUGUUUGAAUGUGCUGGUGGCUGGUACAAUUUUAGUUGGGUUGCAUAUGCUUAUGAACAGAACAAGCCCCUUGUUCCGGUUUUGGUACGUUACCUUAGAUGUUUUUUUAACGAACCUAUCUUUUGUGCAUAUAUGUAUGAGGUUGCAGGUAAAUGUGAACAUGAGUGGUGCAGGAAUGUUUUUCAUGGUCUUCCCUUUUGGCUGCAUCACCUAUUGUUUGACCGUGUAAACUAACUGGAUAAGUUAAAAACAUGGACAGAUCAGCUUCAGAGUUUAAAAUUAAUAACCAUGUUCAUCUAGCACUGCAGCCAUGGCAUGGCUGACUCUAGCUUCAGAGAUCGUUCUUGGCAACAGGCAUGGGUUUACUGCUUACUAGUAAGUGGCUAUUUACUCCUUGUGUAGGAUCUUCCAAAUUAUGCAUGUGUUCGACGUUAUUAUAUUUUGGGCGGAAAUUCAGAAAGCACGCCCAUUUCCUAAAACAACAUAAUUUGUAGGAAAUAUACUUAACUUAAUCUUCUAAAACAAACACAGUGGCGCCUAUAUCCAGUUGACCUACAAUUUCAAUGUUUUGUAGGCGAAACAUGGUUGGCAUACAACAAUUCUUUUGGAUAUUGUGAUAAAUUAUGGACAUUUAGGUCAUGCCAUCCUCAGAGGAGAGUAUUUAGAUACUUUGGCCAAGUAGGCAGAGUCUGUUUUUUAGAAAAACACAAGCUUCUUUUGUUCAUGUAGGGUAGCUUUGUGUACUGAUUAGUGUCAGGUCCCAUUUCUGGCAAGCCAGAGGACACAACAGUCAUCUAUUCAUGAUUACGGGUUUGGAUCACACGCAGAGUCAUUUAACUCGUUCAUGGUCCGAAGCAUCUUGUACUUACAUAAUUCUUGUUUGGUCUCUCUUGCAGUAACCUAACUGAUCAGGCCGCCCGUUACUGUUGUUUUUCUUUGGCAGGCUGGGGGUUCAUGGUUGUUGGCAUCUUCUGUGGCAUAUGCUUGGGAGCAUCUUGUUAUUCUAGCCUAAGCCCGUGCUUGGAUUCGUUGCAAUCAAAUACGGAGGUGUUUAUUUUACACCUGUAUCUUACGGGUCGCUCACCAAUUC
Molecule: long non-coding RNA, 13427 nt
Filed under: Hordeum vulgare
Lineage: Eukaryota; Viridiplantae; Streptophyta; Magnoliopsida; Poales; Poaceae
Description: long non-coding RNA (HVUL_LNC017109)
Source: RNAcentral